RNAcentral lists this ribosomal RNA (254 nucleotides) under uncultured bacterium. Its description in RNAcentral is "partial 16S ribosomal RNA". It matches the Rfam family "Bacterial small subunit ribosomal RNA", at positions 524 to 776 of the family's 1533-position model. The record is from RNAcentral.
UACGGGGGGAGCAAGCGUUGUUCGGAUUUACUGGGCGUAAAGGGCGCGUAGGCGGCCUCUGCAAGUCGACUGUGAAAUCUCCGGGCUUAACCCGGAACGGUCAGCCGAUACUGCAGGGCUAGAGUGCAGAAGGGGCAACUGGAAUUCUCGGUGUAGCGGGGAAAUGCGUAGAUAUCGAGAGGAACACCUGCGGCGAAGGCGGGUUGCUGGGCUGACACUGACGCUGAAGUGCGAAAGCUAGGGGAGCGAACGGG